CCUUUCCAAUCAAGUGUACUGAAGCAGGCCAACCAGAAGAAACUGCAGUUUGUAAAUUAGCUUGCUCCUCCUCCGUAAGUGCAGAUAUAUAGCUUCAUAAUGCAACAGACUCAAAGAGGCCAAGCUAGCUAGGGUUGCCACAACUGCGCGGAAAACUCUUUAAAGCAGAGAGACGAAGUCAGCGAAGAAGGGUACCUGAAAACGGGCCAUAGCAUCGGCGGCAAUGGUGGUGUAGGCGCUGCCCAUGUGGGGAGGGGCAUUGACGUAAUACAGCGGAGUUGUGAUGACGAAAGGGUCUUUGUUCGCCGCCUCGCCGACAGGAAGACUCCUGCUUUUGCCGCUGCAAGUGCAAUAGUACAGAGAGAGGGCUCCUCUGGACUGAUGAGAUGAGAACAAGUUGGUGCGGAAGUGGAGUCGAUUCUUGAGAUUGUGGGCUCCUUUGGAAUACAGAGAAGAGGAUGAGGAUGAUGAUGAUGAUGAUAAGAACCAGAGGCUGUUUUGGAUGGAGACAUGGGCUCGACCCGCCAUUGCUUCUUCUUCCUGCUCCCCCUGGCUAUGAGGGAGAAGGAGAAGAGAGGUAGGAACUUCAAGAGGAUAGAAAGCUUCAACCUUCUUGGACCUGGCUGUUCUAUGUAUCGCUUCUCCUUCCGUACGGCAAACAAGCUAAGAAGGUGAGUAUGAAGGCUUCAUGAAGAAAGGAAAUACAAUACAGUGAACAAACUUAACAUAAGCAUUCAAAUAAAGGUGAGAAGGUUCAAGUGUUGCAGGCUUGCUGGCCGGUGGAAUUUUCAAAUUGUUAGUAACUUGUUUGAGAUUGUUUUUACUAUAAGCUUAUUAUUGUUACUCGCAUGUUAUGAGGAGAUUGUAUUUGUUAACUGUGUGCUAGUGGAUCU
Molecule: long non-coding RNA, 893 nt
Organism: Diospyros lotus (date-plum)
Lineage: Eukaryota; Viridiplantae; Streptophyta; Magnoliopsida; Ericales; Ebenaceae
Exons: 3
Source: RefSeq, a predicted model, not a curated record